UGGGGAAUAUUGGACAAUGCGGGAAACCGUGAUCCAGCAAUGCCGCGUGAGUGAUGAAGGCCUUAGGGUUGUAAGGCUCUUUUACCCGGGAUGAUAAUGACAGUCCCGGGAGAAUAAGUUCCGACUAACUCCGUACCAGCAGCCGCGGGAAUACGGAGGGAGCUAGCGUUGUUCGGAAUUACUGGGCGUAAAGCGCGCGUAGGCGGCUAUUCAAGUCAGGGGUGAAAUCCCGGGGCUCAACCCCGGAACUGCCCUUGAAACUAGGUAGCUAGAAUACUGGAGAGGUGAGUGGAAUUCCGAGUGUAGAGGUGAAAUUCGUAGAUAUUCGGAAGAACACCAGUGGCGAAGGCGACUCACUGGACAGUUAUUGACGCUGAGGUGCGAAAGCGUGGGGAGCAAACAGGAUUAGAUACCCCCGUAGUCC
Molecule: ribosomal RNA, 424 nt
Filed under: uncultured prokaryote
Description: bacterial SSU rRNA
Rfam family: Bacterial small subunit ribosomal RNA
Source: RNAcentral